AUGGACGACAUCACCGCCACGUCGUGCCGCUGCAGCAGCGUGGUGUUCGUGGGCAACAUCCCGUACCAGGCGAGCGGGGAGGAGCUCCGGGACGCGUGCGAGGAGAUCGGCCCCGUGGUUUCCCUCCGCGUGGCCGCCGACAAGGGCACCGGCAGGCCCCGCGGCUUCGCCUUCUGCGAGUACCUCGACGACGAGACGGCCCGCAGCGCCUGCCGCAACCUGCACGGCCACCCGCUCCACGGUCGCGCGCUCCGCGUCGGCAUCGCCGCACCGGAGCAGCAGCAAGGGUGCCGACGCGUCGGCGGCGACGACCCGAGCCUGCCCGUGGGCGUGGAGGGCGCCGCGCACGCCGCGUCGCAGGUGUCCGGGACGCCCAGCGCCGCCGUGACGAGGUACCUGGCGGGGCUGAGCCGGCGCCAGCUGCGUGAGUUCCUCGACGCCGUGGCGAUGGAGCCCGCGGAGUCCGUGGAGCGGGCGAAGCGGGAGUUCAGAGGGCUCGCGACGUUAAUCGAGCAGGCGGGGAUACUGCUCGACAUGGCGGCCGCAAGCGACGCCGGUGCGGCUGGUAAGCGCCCUGGCGGUCUGCCGGAGUCGGGGCGGGGUGCACCGCCGAAGGUGAGAAAGUUGGACGAUGGCACGUCAGUUGCUUGGACCGUUGCAGGCGUUGUUGCAUGCCGCUGA
RNAcentral lists this ribosomal RNA (681 nucleotides) under Triticum aestivum (bread wheat). RNAcentral's name for it is "partial small subunit ribosomal RNA". The record is from RNAcentral. Lineage: Eukaryota; Viridiplantae; Streptophyta; Magnoliopsida; Poales; Poaceae.